GGGCGAUUAGCUCAGCGGUAGAGCACUCGCCUUACAAGCGAGGGGUCACUGGUUCGAACCCAGUAUCGCCCACCG
The sequence is a transfer RNA, 75 nucleotides long. It matches the Rfam family "tRNA". From Rfam's summary of the family: Transfer RNA (tRNA) molecules are approximately 80 nucleotides in length. Their secondary structure includes four short double-helical elements and three loops (D, anti-codon, and T loops). Further hydrogen bonds mediate the characteristic L-shaped molecular structure. tRNAs have two regions of fundamental functional importance: the anti-codon, which is responsible for specific mRNA codon recognition, and the 3' end, to which the tRNAs corresponding amino acid is attached (by aminoacyl-tRNA synthetases). tRNAs cope with the degeneracy of the genetic code in two manners: having more than one tRNA (with a specific anti-codon) for a particular amino acid; and 'wobble' base-pairing, i.e. permitting non-standard base-pairing at the 3rd anti-codon position.